AAGGCCUGGGGGCCCACAAACCUGGGUCUGUAUGCCCACUCUUCAUUAGCAGCUCCAGGACCAAGUGCGGUCAGUUUUCUGGAACUCGUUUCCAUAUCUCCACUGUGAUGUAAGGAUGUGCAUGGAUCCUAAAUGUGAGAAGCUGGCAAUCACCAGGUCCCUGGCAAGUGCUCAGAGUCUGAGCUACCAUCAAAAUCAAGGGCACAGGGGGAAGCUAACUGCUUCUCUGAAUACUCUAAGGGAGGCAGAUCUAGGCCAGGUGACCAGGGUUUACAAGUCCCAGGACAGCAGGUUGGGCUUGGUGCACGGAAGAACUGAUGAGCAGCUUCACUCAUGCAGCAGGACAGAUCAGGACAAAGCCAUGCUGGAGUUGGGGCCACACAUCUGCUGAAAACCCCCAACACUCUUUUUCCCAGCAGCAGCUUCCAAGCAAUUCCUGAGGCCCUCCCACCGGCUAACCAGAAAGGAACCCACCAUUGGUCUCCUUAGUAACGACUUCCAAGGCCCCUUGGUGAGGAUUUUAACAAGCUUCCAGCUCUCUCCCCAAACUGCCUAAUUUUUACAACAAUCAGACUCCUUUUUUCUUCUCUAAACGUUUAUUUUAGCACAUCUGAAAAGCGCACAGUGUGAUUUCCAGACCCAAGUUAGACAGCGAUUUCUUCAAAGUGCAACGCCCUCAAUUAAUGAACCCUCUGGGAAUGAAGUACCUUCUAACAAAAACAUUGUUCAAAAUAAAGCUGGAAAAAAACCUCACACAGCCCCUAGGACAGAGAUGUGAGUGUUGUUGCCCAGUCACAACCAUGACAAGGCGAUGUGGUUACACGGUAGGGUCAGAGGUAGGCAGUCUCCAGCCAUUCCCAGCAGGUGACCUUGGCCAGUUACUUGACCUUCAACUUGGUUUCCUUGUCUGCAAGAUGAGGAUGAUGACAGGCAACUCCCACGGCGGGAGUGCAGACUGCAGAACAGUCACUCAUGCAGUAACUACCUGCUGAGCACCCCUGUGCAUCAGGUGGCCUUGUUCCUGCGGCGGGGAUACAGCAAGGAACACAGCCCUGCCCCGUGGAGCUCAUAUUCUGUGGGGUAGCGGGUGGAGGUGAGUACUACAGAGAAGAAUCAAGCAGGUGAGGGGUAAAAGCACUGGGGGUGCCGAGUGGGAGUUACCUUUUUCUAGGUGGCAGGGAAGGCCUUUGAUCAAAGACCUAAAGGAAGAAGGGAGUGAGCCCCAUGGGUGUCUGGGAGAAGGAGUAUUCUAGGCACAGAGAACAGUCAGUGCCAAGGUCCAGAAGCAGGAAUAUGCUUAGUGUUCAUGGAAAAGCAAGGAGUCCAGGGUCGCUGGAGUGAGAAAGGGGAAAAGUAGUCAAGGGUAGGGACUUUG
Molecule: long non-coding RNA, 1375 nt
Filed under: Homo sapiens (human)
Lineage: Eukaryota; Metazoa; Chordata; Mammalia; Primates; Hominidae
Description: SLIT1 antisense RNA 1
Source: RNAcentral